AAUCAACGCUGGCGGCGCGCUUAACACAUGCAAGUCGAGCGAGAAAGUGGAGCAAUCCAUGAGUACAGCGGCGUACGGGUGAGUAACACGUGGAUCAUCUACCUUCGAGUGGGGGAUAACCCUGGGAAACCGGGGCUAAUACCGCCUAAGCCUGAGAAGGGAAAGCUUCUAUUUAAAAGAUGGGGGCGCUGGAAGAGGAGUCCGCGGCCGAUUAGCUAGUUGGUGAGGUAACGGCCCACCAAGGCGACGAUCGGUAGCCGGCCUGAGAGGGCACACG
This 277-nucleotide ribosomal RNA is filed under the name uncultured bacterium. RNAcentral describes it as "partial 16S ribosomal RNA". It matches the Rfam family "Bacterial small subunit ribosomal RNA", at positions 32 to 306 of the family's 1533-position model. The record is from RNAcentral.